Molecule: non-coding RNA, 57 nt
Organism: Loxodonta africana (African savanna elephant)
Lineage: Eukaryota; Metazoa; Chordata; Mammalia; Proboscidea; Elephantidae
Source: Rfam
UGGCUCAGUGGUAAAGUGGUCGGCUGUUAACCCAAAGGUUGGUGGUUUAAAUCCACC